GAUGAACGCUGGCUACAGGCUUAACACAUGCAAGUCGAGGGGAAACGGCAUUGAGUGCUUGCACUGAAUGGACGUCGACCGGCGCACGGGUGAGUAACGCGUAUCCAACCUUCCCGUUACUGCGGGAUAACCUGCCGAAAGGCAGACUAAUACCGCAUGUUCUUCGAUGACGGCAUCAGAUUCGAAGCAAAGAUCCGUCGGUAACGGAGGGGGAUGCGUCUGAUUAGCUAGUUGGCGGGGCGACGGCCCACCAAGGCGACGAUCAGUAGGGGUUCUGAGAGGAAGGUCCCCCACAUUGGAACUGAGACACGGUCCAAACUCCUACGGGAGGCAGCAGUGAGGAAUAUUGGUCAAUGGGCGGAAGCCUGAACCAGCCAAGUAGCGUGCAGGAAGACGGCCCUAUGGGUUGUAAACUGCUUUUAUGCGGGGAUAAAGUGAGGGACGUGUCCUUCAUUGCAGGUACCGCAUGAAUAAGGACCGGCUAAUUCCGUGCCAGCAGCCGCGGUAAUACGGAAGGUCCGGGCGUUAUCCGGAUUUAUUGGGUUUAAAGGGAGCGUAGGCCGUGGAUUAAGCGUGUUGUGAAAUGCAGGUGCUCAACGUCUGCACUGCAGCGCGAACUGGUCCACUUGAGUGUGCGCAACGCAGGCGGAAUUCGUCGUGUAGCGGUGAAAUGCUUAGAUAUGACGAAGAACUCCGAUUGCGAAGGCAGCUUGCGGGAGCACAACUGACGCUGAGGCUCGAAAGUGCGGGUAUCGAACAGG
This 761-nucleotide ribosomal RNA is filed under the name uncultured Prevotella sp. RNAcentral describes it as "bacterial SSU rRNA". It matches the Rfam family "Bacterial small subunit ribosomal RNA", at positions 28 to 776 of the family's 1533-position model. Lineage: Bacteria; Pseudomonadati; Bacteroidota; Bacteroidia; Bacteroidales; Prevotellaceae. The record is from RNAcentral.